UGAGUCGGCCAGGCGGUCGCGUCGGUGAGCAAUCACCGCCGAGGAACGUCCGGGCUCCACAGGGCGCAGUGGUGGCUAACGGCCACCCGGGGUGACCCGCGGGACAGUGCCACAGAAAACAGACCGCCAAGGCGAACCGCCGGCCCUCGGGCCGGUAGGCGUCAGGGCAAGGGUGAAACGGUGGUGUAAGAGACCACCAGCGGCCCCGGUGACGGGGUCGGCUUGGUAAACCCCACUGGGAGCAAGCUCAGACAGUGUGCGUCCGAGGGCUGCCCGCCCGAGCACACGGGUAGAGCGCUGGAGGCAGUCGGCAACGGCUGUCGUAGAUGGAUGACCGUCGCCGCGCCGCUGGUAACGGCGGCGCGGAACAGAACCCGGCGUAUCGGCCGACUCAUCCA
Molecule: RNase P RNA, 398 nt
Filed under: Pedococcus cremeus
Lineage: Bacteria; Bacillati; Actinomycetota; Actinomycetes; Micrococcales; Intrasporangiaceae
Description: Phycicoccus sp. V2M29 Bacterial RNase P class A
Rfam family: Bacterial RNase P class A
About the family: Ribonuclease P (RNase P) is a ubiquitous endoribonuclease, found in archaea, bacteria and eukarya as well as chloroplasts and mitochondria. Its best characterised activity is the generation of mature 5'-ends of tRNAs by cleaving the 5'-leader elements of precursor-tRNAs.
Source: Rfam by way of RNAcentral